This 1199-nucleotide long non-coding RNA is filed under the name Homo sapiens (human). RNAcentral describes it as "long non-coding RNA NONHSAT179779.1". The record is from RNAcentral. Lineage: Eukaryota; Metazoa; Chordata; Mammalia; Primates; Hominidae.
UAACUUGUCCUUCUGCCCAGGACUUCUGCUUGUUUAGCCAGAUGCAGCUGGGUGGGGGACCGGGCUGGGGACUGGACAGGGGCUGGGUGGAGAGAAUGGACAAAGGCAGUGGGUGGAAGGGGGGCAUGGAUGAGCCAUCCUGGGACUGGAGAUUGCCAGCCCUGCCUCAUAGCUCAGCCUGGUGCUACUGGGGUAAAGGGCAGAGGGCAGCUGAACAGCAAAAGAGGCCCUGGAUUGGCCAGGGGGAUGGCUAUAGAGUGGGCAGAGGUCCUGGAGGGCUUGGAAAGCAGGGGCCCUAAUCUCCCUUCCUCAAACUCUAUCCCUAGAAAAUGGGACUCUCAUUGAGAAGGGGUCAUGUGUGGCCCCUGGAGAAUGCUAAGAAGGUGUCUACGCCCUGACCUACAGCCCCCAUGCAAGCCUCUGGGUCAGCACAGCCUCUUGUGAAAACAACUGCAGCCACCUUCCCCAGUAAGGUUUGUUGGGAGGACCUCAGGCUCACACACCAGGGUAGGGUGUCAUGGGGACCCAGCCUCAAUUUCCUGCCUCACAGCUUUUUGUCUGGCUGAUUGGGGCAAGAAGGAGACUCUCAGUUUUCUCAUCUGGAAAAUGGGUGUGAUGUAGGUUUUAAAGGGUGUUCAUCCCCUAGGCUGGCACGUGGUAGACACUCCUUUUGUUGCCAUGUUUAUUUGAAUACUGGGAGGCUAAAGAGAACUCCAAGCUCUUUUCUGUUUCUCUGUCUCUCUCUCUCUCUCUCUCUCUUUUUGAGACAGAGUCUCACUCUGUUGCCCAGGCUGGAGUACAAUGGCGCAAUCUUGGCCUACUGCAACCUCCACCUCCUGGUUCAAACGAUUCUCGUGGCUCAGCCUCACGAGUAGCUGGGAUUACAGAUGUACACAACCACGUCCGGCUAAUUUUUGUAUUUUUAGUAGAGUCAGGGUUUCGCCAUGCUGGCCAGUCUGGUCUCAAACUCUUGACCUUCAGUGACCUGCCCGCCUGGGCCUCUCAAAGUGCUGGGAUUACAGGCAUGAAUCUCUGUGCCCCGCCUCUCUUUUUGUCUUUAAUAGAGGGGCUCCCCUUGAAGGCUAGUCAAACAGAACAAGAAACCUCACAAGUGGUGAUAGGCCCAGGUCUAGGGGAGCCCAGCCAGGAGCCCAGGAUGCAAAAAUGUUUAUUCUUUAUUUUUUAUUUUUAUUUUUUUU